CGUAGCCACCACUGCUCAGUAACACGUGGCUCUAACUGCCCUAUGGAUCGGGAUAACCUCGGGAAACUGAGGCUAAUCCCGAAUAGUACAUCCAGCCUGGAACUGGCGGAUGUGUGAAACGCUCCGGCGCCAUAGGAUGUGGCUGCGGCCGAUUAGGUAGACGGUGGGGUAACGGCCCACCGUGCCGAUAAUCGGUACGGGUCAUGAGAGUGAGAGCCCGGAGACGGACUCUGAGACACGAGUCCGGGCCCUACGGGGCGCAGCAGGCGCGAAACCUUUACACUGCACGACAGUGCGAUAGGGGGACACCGAGUGCGAGGGCAUAGAGCCCUCGCUUUUGUAGACCGUAAGGAGGUCCACGAAUAAGGGCUGGGCAAGACCGGUGCCAGCCGCCGCGGUAACACCGGCAGCCCGAGUGAUGGCCGAUAUUAUUGGGCCUAAAGCGUCCGUAGCUGGCCGCACAAGUCCGUCGGGAAAUCCACUCGCUUAACGAGUGGGCGUCCGGCGGAAACUGUGCGGCUUGGGACCGGAAGAUCCGAGGGGUACGUCCGGGGUAGGAGUGAAAUCCCGUAAUCCUGGACGGACCACCGAUGGCGAAAGCACCUCGGAAGGACGGAUCCGACAGUGAGGGACGAAAGCUAGGGUCUCGAACCGGAUUAGAUACCCGGGUAGUCCUAGCCGUAAACGAUGCUCGCUAGGUGUGGCGCAGGCUACGAGCCUGCGCUGUGCCGUAGGGAAGCCGUGAAGCGAGCCGCCUGGGAAGUACGUCUG
Molecule: ribosomal RNA, 771 nt
Filed under: uncultured archaeon
Lineage: Archaea
Description: bacterial SSU rRNA
Rfam family: Archaeal small subunit ribosomal RNA
Source: RNAcentral